GGGUCAAUAGGUUGGUCGUGCCACCGGUACGUACUGGUCUCACUGAUUCCUCCUUCCUGAAGAACCGUAAUGCCAUUAAUUUGGUGUUGCGGGGAAACAGGACUGUUACUUUGAAAAAAUUAGAGUGUUUAAAGCAAGCUAACGCUUGAAUACAUUAGCAUAGAAUAAUGAAAUAGGACGAUCGAUCCUAUUUUGUUGGUUUCUAGGAUUGACGUA
This 216-nucleotide ribosomal RNA is filed under the name Glomeromycotina sp. RNAcentral's name for it is "partial small subunit ribosomal RNA". The stretch from base 40 to 216 matches the Rfam family "Eukaryotic small subunit ribosomal RNA", at positions 686 to 864 of the family's 1831-position model. Lineage: Eukaryota; Fungi; Glomeromycota. The record is from RNAcentral.